Molecule: ribosomal RNA, 661 nt
Filed under: uncultured bacterium
Lineage: Bacteria
Description: bacterial SSU rRNA
Rfam family: Bacterial small subunit ribosomal RNA
Source: RNAcentral
AGAGUUUGAUCCUGGCUCAGAAUCAACGCUGGCGGCGUGCCUAACACAUGCAAGUCGAACGAGAAAAUCUCCUUCGGGAGAUAAGUACAGUGGCGAACGGGUGAGUAACGCGUGGGUAACCUGCCCUUGGAAGGGGGAUAACACGAGGAAACUGGUGCUAAUACCGCAUACGCCUGUUGUGAGAGAUUGCAACAGGGAAAGUCCUUCGGGAUGUCCAAGGAGGGGCCCGCGUCCGAUUAGCUAGUUGGUGGAGUAAAGGUUUACCAAGGCGACAAUCGGUAACCGGUCUGAGAGGACGGACGGUCACACUGGGACUGAGACACGGCCCAGACUCCUACGGGAGGCAGCAGUGGGGAAUUUUGCGCAAUGGGGGAAACCCUGACGCAGCAACGCCGCGUGAAGGAAGAAGGCUUUCGAGUUGUAAACUUCUGUUUCGGGGGACGAAGAAGUGACGGUACUCCGGCAGCAAGCCCCGGCUAACUCCGUGCCAGCAGCCGCGGUAAUACGGGGGGGGCAAGCGUUGUUCGGAGUUACUGGGCGUAAAGGGCGCGUAGGCGGUCCGAGAAGUUUCGGGUGAAAGCCCCGGGCUCAACCCGGGAAGGUCCCGGAAAACCAUCGGACUUGAGUGCUGGAGAGGCAAGCGGAAUUUCUGGUGUAGCGG